GGAAUCCGAAAGGUGACCGACCCUUCGGGGAGCGGUGCACAGGUGUUUGCAUGGCUGUCGUCAGCUCGUGCCGUGAGGUGUUAGUUAAGUCCUGUAACGAGCGCAACCCUGCCGUUAGUUACAUGUGUCUAACGGGACUGCCCGGCUCAACUGGGAGGAAGGUGGGGACGACGUCAAGUCAGCAUGGCCUUUAUAUCCUGGGCUACACACACGCUACAAUGGUCGGUACAAUGGGUCGCCAAGCCGCGAGGCGGAGCCAAUCCUCCAAAACCGGCCUCAGUUCAGAUUGUAGGCUGCAACUCGCCUGCAUGAAGUUGGAGUUGCUAGUAACCGCGCGUCAGCUAUAGUGCGGUGAAUACGUUCCCGGGGCUU
This 372-nucleotide ribosomal RNA is filed under the name uncultured Anaerolineaceae bacterium. RNAcentral describes it as "bacterial SSU rRNA". It matches the Rfam family "Bacterial small subunit ribosomal RNA", at positions 996 to 1382 of the family's 1533-position model. Lineage: Bacteria; Bacillati; Chloroflexota; Anaerolineae; Anaerolineales; Anaerolineaceae. The record is from RNAcentral.